AUUUGUUUUCUGGCUAGGGUAGAUGCCUUAGCGCUUGGAGCUUCAGUGAGCUCAUUUGUUUUCUGGAGUUUUACUUUCGACUCUGUCGAAACUGCGCUGCGAAAGCCUGUUCUGUGUUGUUCGGUCUUUGUUUUGUAGUUGAUGUGCAUAAACGCAAAUGGAUUACUCUUUGUUCCUCAGAAUGGCCAGCCUUUGACGUGGGCUGGCCGCGGGAUGAUACCUUUAACCCCCAAACUAUAUUUCAGGUAAAAGACACCCCAAGGGCCCCCCCUUCCUUUCCCCCUCUAACCGCCCGCCGCCGCCCCCGCCAGAGGCAGAAGCGGCCGCCGCCGCCUAGGUCCCCUUAACCUCGGAGGAGAAACAGCUGCCCAAUGAAAUUGAUGCAGCUUGCCCUCUUAAAAGACCUGAAUGGGAUUUUACCACUGAAGCAGUUUAUAAUGUCAGACAGACUGCCAGAUCCUGACAAUGACCCGAAGAUUACAGGCACCUCAGUUCCUGCACCUGGACCAAUGAGCAGAUGCUCAGAUAUGAAACCUGCCGCCUGCCAGAACCUGGCCGAGACUGUGGACAAAGCUGCUGGACGCUGGAAAAUUGAUUGUACCCCUUUGCCUAGACAAAACAAGGUUUCUGCUUCUGACAGACAUCUGAGUACCAGUUGCUGACUUCAGACUGUUCUAAGUAGACUGCGAACCCUAGACUUGCUAUGGAUGUGAACCAGUCUGCUGAUAUGGACACCCCCUAUCUCUGCAACAAUGUCAGCUAACCAGAAGCCCCUGAUGGAUUCCCCAUUGCCUAAAUUCCUUUUUGUUUUUGACUAGCAUUUCAACCUUCUGGGGUCCCUAACUUCGUCCCAAAGUCAGCAGGAAGCAGUUUGGAAAAGAAUUUCGCC
RNAcentral lists this long non-coding RNA (889 nucleotides) under Cricetulus griseus (Chinese hamster). RNAcentral's name for it is "lncRNA (ENSCGRG00015037349.1)". Lineage: Eukaryota; Metazoa; Chordata; Mammalia; Rodentia; Cricetidae. The record is from RNAcentral.